UACGAAGGGAGCUAGCGUUGUUCGGAAUCACUGGGCGUAAAGCGCACGUAGGCGGAUUUGUCAGUCAGGGGUGAAAUCCCGGGGCUCAACCUCGGAACUGCCUUUGAUACAGCAAGUCUUGAGUUCGAGAGAGGUGGGUGGAAUUCCUAGUGUAGAGGUGAAAUUCGUAGAUAUUAGGAAGAACACCGGUGGCGAAGGCGGCGAUCUGGGUUGAUACUGACGCUGAGGUGCGAAAGCGUGGGGAGCAAACAGG
Molecule: ribosomal RNA, 253 nt
Filed under: uncultured bacterium
Lineage: Bacteria
Description: partial 16S ribosomal RNA
Rfam family: Bacterial small subunit ribosomal RNA
Source: RNAcentral